This 380-nucleotide unclassified non-coding RNA is filed under the name uncultured fungus. RNAcentral's name for it is "partial contains small subunit ribosomal RNA, internal transcribed spacer 1, and 5.8S ribosomal RNA". The stretch from base 1 to 73 matches the Rfam family "Eukaryotic small subunit ribosomal RNA", at positions 1759 to 1831 of the family's 1831-position model. The record is from RNAcentral. Lineage: Eukaryota; Fungi.
CCAAACUUGGUCAUUUAGAGGAAGUAAAAGUCGUAACAAGGUUUCCGUAGGUGAACCUGCGGAAGGAUCAUUAUUGAAUAAAUUAGGCAAGUUGUUGCUGGCUUCUAACUUGAAGCAUGUGCACACUUGAUCUAUAUUUUCUAACCACCUGUGCACUGAUGUAGAAUUUGAAAAACUUUUUCAAGUAUAUAUUAUAACCUACUUGGAUUGAGAAUUGCCGAGUUGAUUAAAGCUGGCUUUUUUCUUAUAUUUCAGAUUCUAUGUUUUUAUAUAUACGCCAAAUAGCAUGUAUCAUGACUAUUGAGAGCAUGUAUGCUCUAAAAUAAAAUAUAACUUUCAACAACGGAUCUCUUGGCUCUCGCAUCGAUGAAGAACGCAGC